This is a long non-coding RNA of Rosa chinensis, 342 nucleotides long. RefSeq lists it as uncharacterized. The transcript has 3 exons. Lineage: Eukaryota; Viridiplantae; Streptophyta; Magnoliopsida; Rosales; Rosaceae. The record is from RefSeq and is a predicted model, not a curated record.
AGUUCGAUUCGAUUCGAGGCAUCGACGGCUUGAAGUUUGAUUCGAUUCAAAGCUUCAAACCCAGAAAAUCUCGUAUCUAAUCAGAGAUUCAUGGCCUACGGCCGAAGUUCGAUUAGAUUCUAACCCAGAACUCUUCGCCUCUCGACCUCUUCUUUGAAGUUCGUUUCGAUUCAAAUCUUCAAACCCAGAAAUCUCGUAUCAAUUCAUUCGAUUCAUGGCCUACGGCCGUUAAUCACUUAAUCUCAAGUGGAAUCAGUCUCUUUGAAGUGGAAUCUUGAUUUUUUACUUGUAUAUGAACAGGAGGACGAGGACUAAGAAGCAAAGUGACUGCACAACUGAAGG